Molecule: ribosomal RNA, 370 nt
Filed under: uncultured alga
Lineage: Eukaryota
Description: bacterial LSU rRNA
Rfam family: Bacterial large subunit ribosomal RNA
Source: RNAcentral
GCUUGACUGUAGCCUGGAAUUGGGUUCGGGCUCUUCUUGCGCAGCCUAGGUGGGAGGCGUUGAAAGUUUCUUCGGGGAAAACUGGAGCCAACAGUGAGAGACCACUCUGGAGGAGCUAGAAUUCUAAUGGCGUUCCUUGAAGCAGGACGCCUUGACAGUUUCAGGUGGGCAGUUUGACUGGGGCGGUCACCUCCUAAAAGGUAACGGAGGUGUGCCAAAGGUUCCCUCGGGCUGGACGGAAAUCAGCCGUAGAGUGUAAAGGCAGAAGGGAGCUUGACUGCAAGACCUACAAAGUCGAGCAGGGCGAAAGCUGGCUUAGUGAUCCGACGGUUACCGUGUGGAAGGGCCGUCGCUCAACGGAUAAAAGUUA